UACGAAGGGUGCAAGCGUUACUCGGAAUUACUGGGCGUAAAGCGUGCGUAGGUGGUUUGUUAAGUCUGCUGUGAAAGCCCCGGGCUCAACCUGGGAAUGGCAGUGGAUACUGGCAAGCUAGAGUGCGGUAGAGGGUAGUGGAAUUCCCGGUGUAGCGGUGAAAUGCGUAGAGAUCGGGGAGGAACACCAGUGGCGAAGGCGGCUACCUGGACCAGCACUGACACUCAGGCACGAAAGCGUGGGGAGCAAACAGG
RNAcentral lists this ribosomal RNA (254 nucleotides) under uncultured bacterium. Its description in RNAcentral is "partial 16S ribosomal RNA". It matches the Rfam family "Bacterial small subunit ribosomal RNA", at positions 524 to 776 of the family's 1533-position model. The record is from RNAcentral.